This 497-nucleotide ribosomal RNA is filed under the name uncultured bacterium. RNAcentral describes it as "partial 16S ribosomal RNA". It matches the Rfam family "Bacterial small subunit ribosomal RNA", at positions 28 to 507 of the family's 1533-position model. The record is from RNAcentral.
GAUGAACGCUGGCGGCGUGCCUAAUACAUGCAAGUCGAGCGAACAGACGAGGAGCUUGCUCCUCUGACGUUAGCGGCGGACGGGUGAGUAACACGUGGAUAACCUACCUAUAAGACUGGGAUAACUUCGGGAAACCGGAGCUAAUACCGGAGAAUAUAUUGAACCGCAUGGUUCAAUAGUGAAAGACGGUUUUGCUGUCACUUAUAGAUGGAUCCGCGCCGCAUUAGCUAGUUGGUAAGGUAACGGCUUACCAAGGCGACGAUGCGUAGCCGACCUGAGAGGGUGAUCGGCCACACUGGAACUGAGACACGGUCCAGACUCCUACGGGAGGCAGCAGUAGGGAAUCUUCCGCAAUGGGCGAAAGCUUGACGGAGCAACGCCGCGUGAGUGAUGAAGGUCUUCGGAUCGUAAAACUCUGUUAUUAGGGAAGAACAAAUGUGUAAGUAACUAUGCACGUCUUGACGGUACCUAAUCAGAAAGCCACGGCUAACUACGUG